This 1046-nucleotide long non-coding RNA is filed under the name Sus scrofa (pig). RNAcentral's name for it is "lncRNA (ENSSSCG00060006940.1)". Lineage: Eukaryota; Metazoa; Chordata; Mammalia; Artiodactyla; Suidae. The record is from RNAcentral.
UUUUUGUCUUUUUGCCUUUUCUAGGGCUGCUCCCGAGGCACAUGGAGGUUCCCAGCCUAGGGGUCUAAUCGGAGCUGUAGCUGCCAGCCUACACCAAAGCCACAGCAACACAGGAUCUGAGCCACGUCUGUGACCUACACCACAGCUCAUAGCAACGCUGGAUCCUUUACCCACUGAGCAAAGCCAGGGAUCGAACCUGCAACCUCAUGGUUCCUAGUUGGAUUCAUUAACCACUGAGCCACAAUGGGAACUCCCACAAAAUAACAAGAUUUAUGCAGUGAAAAUUAUAAGGAAAUUAAAGGAAGGGUAGUAUUUUGCAUGGAUUGGAACACUCGGUCUUAUUAAGAUGCCUCAAAAUUAAUAUUUAAAUUCAAUAAAAUCUAAUCAAAAUCCAGCAGGCUGCAGAAAUUGACAAAUUGAUACUAAAUUCUGCAUUUAGAAAGAAAAGAACCAAGAGUAAUAAAAAAAAAAAAAUUGGAUGUGGAGAAACCGGAACCCUCACACAUUGGUGGUGGAAUGGAAAAUGCACAGCAAUUUGGGGAGAGUUGGAUGGUUGAAAACAAACACUUAAAAAUGUGAUCCAGCAAUGCCAUUCCUAGGGACCCACUUGAGAAAUGAAAAUAAAUGUCUGAUAUCUGUAAGCAAAUGAUUACAACAACUUUUUUCGCAAUAGCUAAUAAUUGGAAAUAAUGCAAAGUCCAUCAACGGGUCAAUGGAUAAACUGUGAUACAUCCAUACAGAAUACUAUACAGUGUUUGUUUGUUGUUGUUGUUGUUUUGUCUUGUGUUUUUUACUCCACUACUGGUACAAAAUACAAAAUAAUGGAACUGGGGACAUUACGGAAAGAAGCCAGACCCCAAAGGCUAUAUACUGUUUGAAUCUGAUAGAUAACAUUCUGAAAAAGGCAAAGCUAUAGGGCUAGAAAUUGGAUAUGGUUGCCAGGAUACGGAUGGAGGGAGGGAUAAUUACAAGGGGGCAAGUCAGAGCUUUGUGGAAUGACAGAACUGUUUCACAUCUGUUGGGAUGGUAGUGAUGAGACUGUAUAC